This 819-nucleotide long non-coding RNA is filed under the name Homo sapiens (human). RNAcentral's name for it is "HSALNT0351722". The record is from RNAcentral. Lineage: Eukaryota; Metazoa; Chordata; Mammalia; Primates; Hominidae.
ACAGUCGGUUGCUCCCGGCACCAAGGCCGCAGGCGGCGGUCGGUGCAGGGCGCCCCGCUGGCGUAGUAGUCCAUCCCGCGCAGACAGUAGUGGCGGCCCGAGCAAGCACUUUCGUAACCAUGGAAGGGCAGGCGGCCGGGCAGCGGGUCCACGCACCCGCAUCGGGGCGUGAUCCGCGGCAGCUGCUGGUUCCGCGACAGUGAGUUCAGCAUGUUCACCAUCACUUCGCGCUCUGCUCCCGCGGGUCCCCAGCGCAGGAGACCCAAAGACAGAUGCACAGGGAUGGGAAGAGGCCGAGUCACGGACAGAGUGAGGCGGAGACAAAAGCCAGGACGGAUAGAUUCAGGGUUCCACCCUCUCCAGGACCCUCGGCCUCCUCCCCGUCCUUCAGGCAUUGAGCCGCUCCGGCCUAGGAGGGCAUUCCAAGGGCAUUCCUCGAACUGCUGUCUCCAUCCUGGCCUCCUGGAAGCGGCACACAUGCUACCUCAAGCUCUGACCUGGCAGAGCUGCUCCCUUUUAGGGGUCCUCCCAGAACACCCAGACCUAUCGCCACGCCGCAACUUCUCCCGCCCUUCAGCAGCUCCCCACCUCUCCAGGGCUCUGUGUUGGCGGCUGUCACCGGGCAACGCUUUUACAUCGCCAACAGGGGCGGGGUGGGGUAGGAAGGGCUGAAGGUGGAUGGGGUUUGGCUCCUGGGCCUGUGACAACCCUGUCUCAGCGUUUGCCUUUGAUUUUACCCCUCUUUGUCUAGCUGACUCUGUUUAGCUGUGUCUGGGUGUCUCUCUAAUAGGGGGUUUUCAAUAUUGCUUGUCAUUCCGG